UACGUAGGGUGCAAGCGUUAAUCGGAAUUACUGGGCGUAAAGCGUGCGCAGGCGGUUAUAUAAGACAGAUGUGAAAUCCCCGGGCUCAACCUGGGAACUGCAUUAGUGACUGUAUAGCUAGAGUGCGGCAGAGGGGGAUGGAAUUCCGCGUGUAGCAGUGAAAUGCGUAGAUAUGCGGAGGAACACCGAUGGCGAAGGCAAUCCCCUGGGCCUGCACUGACGCUCAUGCACGAAAGCGUGGGGAGCAAACAGGAUUAGAUACCCUGGUAGUCCACGCCCUAAACGAUGUCAACUGGUUGUUGGGAAUUUACUUUCUCAGUAACGAAGCUAACGCGUGAAGUUGACCGCCUGGGGAGUACGGCCGCAAGGUUAAA
This 374-nucleotide ribosomal RNA is filed under the name uncultured bacterium. Its description in RNAcentral is "bacterial SSU rRNA". It matches the Rfam family "Bacterial small subunit ribosomal RNA", at positions 524 to 898 of the family's 1533-position model. The record is from RNAcentral.